This 381-nucleotide ribosomal RNA is filed under the name Triticum aestivum (bread wheat). RNAcentral's name for it is "partial small subunit ribosomal RNA". The record is from RNAcentral. Lineage: Eukaryota; Viridiplantae; Streptophyta; Magnoliopsida; Poales; Poaceae.
AUGUGGUUGUCUCGCCGCCGGGGAAGAUCCGCCUUGCCCGCCUGCCGAAUUAUUCAAGAGGCACAAGAGGGGAGCUGCGACCGGGGUUGGCAGCGGCGGCUGGGGUUGCCGCGGGGGGUGAGGAACCGGCGAGUAGGGCACAAGCAGGGCCAGGGACGCGAGCAGGGCUGCGAGGAGGAGGCGCCCGUCGAGGUGGUCGCCUUCGAGGAGCAGCCUCAGCUGGGCGGCAGGGCAGCUCGCCUCCGUGCAGGCGGCCCACGUUCGCAGCGGCGGAGCAACCGCAGGUGGGCGACGGCGCAGGUGGUCGCCCGCUCUUUCUACGGCGGCUGCCGGCGGUGGCUACGACGGCCGCUUGGUCGAAGGAGGAAGAAGCAUAGGUGA